RNAcentral lists this ribosomal RNA (468 nucleotides) under uncultured bacterium. RNAcentral describes it as "partial 16S ribosomal RNA". It matches the Rfam family "Bacterial small subunit ribosomal RNA", at positions 28 to 507 of the family's 1533-position model. The record is from RNAcentral.
GAUGAACGCUGGCGGCGUGCUUAACACAUGCAAGUCGAACGGAAAGGCCCAAGCUUGCUUGGGUACUCGAGUGGCGAACGGGUGAGUAACACGUGGGUGAUCUGCCCUGCACUUCGGGAUAAGCCUGGGAAACUGGGUCUAAUACCGGAUAGGACGAUGGUUUGGAUGCCAUUGUGGAAAGUUUUUUCGGUGUGGGAUGAGCUCGCGGCCUAUCAGCUUGUUGGUGGGGUAAUGGCCUACCAAGGCGUCGACGGGUAGCCGGCCUGAGAGGGUGUACGGCCACAUUGGGACGGAGAUACGGCCCAGACUCCUACGGGAGGCAGCAGUGGGGAAUAUUGCACAAUGGGCGCAAGCCUGAUGCAGCGACGCCGCGUGGGGGAUGACGGCCUUCGGGGUGUAAACUCCUUUCGCUAGGGACGAAGCGUUUUUGUGACGGUACCUGGAGAAGAAGCACCGGCUAACUACGUG